AAAAACACCAAAAACAAAUACCCCUAGAACUGUUGUUAACAGUAUGAGGGUUGAAGAUCAUCCUCGUCCUUCAAAUAUCGGUGAUUUGUUUUCAGAAGGGUCUCUAAAUCCAUAUGCAGAUGAUCCCUAUGCAUUUGAUUAAAGAGAAUGGACUCGAGUGAGUUUUCCAAUGAAAAGCUUCACUUAAAGCAACAUUACUUGUAGUACAAGUUACUUUUGGCAAGAACUUUGGACUUCCCAAUAGGAUGCUUUCAAGUUCAGCAAAAGGGUCCUCAUCUGAUCUAUCUUCUGAUUUGCUAAGAUCCAUUGGUGCAUUUCCUUUGCUUAUUGGUG
Trifolium pratense (red clover) is the source of this 333-nucleotide long non-coding RNA. RefSeq lists it as uncharacterized. The record is from RefSeq and is a predicted model, not a curated record. NCBI's taxonomy places the organism in Eukaryota, Viridiplantae, Streptophyta, Magnoliopsida, Fabales, Fabaceae. The transcript is spliced from 3 exons.